This 242-nucleotide ribosomal RNA is filed under the name uncultured bacterium. RNAcentral's name for it is "partial 16S ribosomal RNA". It matches the Rfam family "Bacterial small subunit ribosomal RNA", at positions 796 to 1041 of the family's 1533-position model. The record is from RNAcentral.
CUGGCCAUAAACGAUGUGCACUUGGUGUUGGGCCGCGAGGCUCAGUGCCGAAGCUAACGCAUUAAGUGCACCGCCUGGGGAGUACGACCGCAAGGUUGAAACUCAAAGGAAUUGACGGGGGCCCGCACAAGCGGUGGAGCAUGUGGCUUAAUUCGACGCAACGCGAAGAACCUUACCGGGGUUUGACAUGCCUCUGCUAAUCCUGCGAAAGCAGGACUCCUUCGAGGGUGAGGCACAGGUGC